This 556-nucleotide long non-coding RNA is filed under the name Homo sapiens (human). RNAcentral describes it as "non-protein coding lnc-ZP2-3:1". The record is from RNAcentral. Lineage: Eukaryota; Metazoa; Chordata; Mammalia; Primates; Hominidae.
CUAUUUCUUAAUAAGUAUUUCGUCCUACUGAUUGGGAGAGCAUGGCCUGGGGAAUGAGGGGGUAUUUUGAAUCUGAGUGUGUUCACGAGUCCUUUGUUCACCUCUCUCCUGUGCUUUGGGCUUCUUAGCAGCCUUUGGCACUAAUCCUGGGCUUAAGGUCUGUUUUGCUGUCUCUUAGCUGUUGGAGCCAGCAGACCUGACUGGAGAGAACUGGAUGAUGAGCUCAUGAAAGAAGCUGUGCUGUACGUGGAUUCCCAGGAGGCUGCCCUGAAGGAGUCUGGAGAUGUCCUGCUGUCAGGGGCCGAGAUCUUUGCUGAGCUGGGAGAAGUGAUUAAGGGAGUGAAACCAGCCCACUGUGAGAAGACCACCGUGUUCAAGUCUUUGGGUAAGAUCCAUUGCUCCCUGGGCACAAAUCCAACUAGCGCACAAGGCAGGUUCACCCAUUGGUGGAAAGAGCAAUGAGUCACCAGACUCUGCAGCUGAAUCAUUGUGCUCCAUCAUUCAGGUCAAUUAUUUACAUGGUUUAGCCUAGUGCUAAGCCCAUGAACUCUGGAAC